RNAcentral lists this ribosomal RNA (1466 nucleotides) under uncultured Bordetella sp. RNAcentral describes it as "partial 16S-23S ribosomal RNA intergenic spacer". It matches the Rfam family "Bacterial small subunit ribosomal RNA". The record is from RNAcentral. Lineage: Bacteria; Pseudomonadati; Pseudomonadota; Betaproteobacteria; Burkholderiales; Alcaligenaceae.
GGUUUGAUCAUGGCUCAGAUUGAACGCUGGCGGGAUGUUUACACAUGCAAGUCGAAGGCACGGACUUCGGUCUGGUGGCGAGUGGCGAACGGGUGAGUAAUGUAUCGGAACGUCAACAUAGCGGGGAUAAUCGUCGAACGUAGCUAAUACCGUAUACGCCCUUCGCUGGGGAAAGGGGUCCGUCGGCCUCGCACUAUUAGAGCGGCCGAUAUCGGAUUAGCUAGUUGGUGGGGUAACGGCUCACCAAGGCGACGAUCCGUAGCUGGUUUGAGAGGACGACCAGCCACACUGGGACCGAGACACGGCCCAGACUCCUACGGAGGCAGCAGUGGGGAAUUUUGACAAUGAAGAAACCCGAUUCAGGCCAUCCUGCGGGCAGAUGAAGGCCUUCGGGUUAAAGCACUCCCUUUGGCAGGAAGAAACGGCACGGGAUAAUACCCCGGUGCAACUGACGGUACCUGCAGAAUAAGCACGGCUAACUACGUGCCAGCAGCCGCGGUAAUACGUAGGGCAGAAGCGUUAAUCGGAAUUACUGGGCGUAAAGCGUGCGCAGGCGGUUCGGGAAAGAAAGAUGUGAAAUCCCAGAGCUUAUCUGAACUGCAUUUUAAUUACCGGAGCUAGAGUGUGGGUCAGGAGGGAGGUGGAAUCUGCGUGUAGCAGUGAAAUGCGUAGAUAUGCGGAGGAACACCGAUGGCGAAGGCAGCCUCCUGGGAUAACACUGACGCUCAUGCACGAAAGCGUGGGGAGCAAACAGGAUUAGACCCUGGUAGUCCACGCCCUUAAACGAUGUCAACUAGCUGCCGGGGCCUUCGCUCCUGGUAGCGCAGCUAACGCGUGAAGUUGACCGCCUGGGGAGUACGGUCGCAAGAUUAAAACUCAAAGGAAUUGACGGGGAUCACUAGCGGGAAGAUAUGGAUUAAUUCGAUGCAACGCGAAAAACCUUACCUACCCUUGACAUGUCUGAAUCCCGAAGAGAUUUGGGGGUGCUCGCAAGAGAACCGGAACACAGGUGCUGGGCUAUUGCCGUCAGCUCGUGUCGAGAUGUUGGGUUAAGUCCCGCAACGAGCGGCAACCCUGUCAUUAGUUGCUACGAAAGGGCAAUUUAAUGAGACUGCCGGUGACAAACCGGGAGGAAGGUGGGGAUGACGUCAAUCCCUUUACUGGUCCCGAGUGGCGGGCUUCACACGGUCAUACAAUGGUCGGGACAGAGGUGGUCACAACCCGCGAGGGGGAGCCAAUCCUGCGAAACCCGAUCGUAGUCCGGAUCGCAGUCUGCAACCGACUGCGUGAAGUCGGAAUCGCUAGUAAUCGCGGAUCAGCAUGUUUCGAAUACGUUCCCGGGUCUUGUACACACCGCCCGUCACACCAUGGGGAGUGGGUUUUACCAGAAGUAGUUAGCUCAACCGUAAGGAGGGCGAUUACCACGUAGAAAGAUUCAUGACUGGGGUGAAGUCGUAACAAGGUAG